RNAcentral lists this ribosomal RNA (92 nucleotides) under Mogibacterium sp. Lineage: Bacteria; Bacillati; Bacillota; Clostridia; Peptostreptococcales; Anaerovoracaceae. The record is from RNAcentral.
CACCUGUUCCCAUCCCGAACACAGAAGUUAAGCUCUUUAGCGCUGAAGAUACUUGGUGGGAAGCUGCCUGGGAAAUUAGGACGUCGCCGGUU